UACGUAGGGUGCGAGCGUUGUCCGGAAUUAUUGGGCGUAAAGGGCUCGUAGGCGGUUUGUCGCGUCGGGAGUGAAAACCAGGUGCUUAACACCUGGCUUGCUUUCGAUACGGGCAGACUAGAGGUAUUCAGGGGAGAACGGAAUUCCUGGUGUAGCGGUGAAAUGCGCAGAUAUCAGGAGGAACACCGGUGGCGAAGGCGGUUCUCUGGGAAUGACCUGACGCUGAGGAGCGAAAGUGUGGGGAGCGAAC
This 250-nucleotide ribosomal RNA is filed under the name uncultured bacterium. RNAcentral's name for it is "partial 16S ribosomal RNA". It matches the Rfam family "Bacterial small subunit ribosomal RNA", at positions 524 to 773 of the family's 1533-position model. RNAcentral also lists the same sequence under 1 other name. The record is from RNAcentral.